Molecule: non-coding RNA, 1332 nt
Organism: Manis javanica (Malayan pangolin)
Lineage: Eukaryota; Metazoa; Chordata; Mammalia; Pholidota; Manidae
Source: RefSeq, a predicted model, not a curated record
GCACAAAUGUUUAGAGCUGAGCUGCAGAUUUGCCCAGAGACCUCUUACCAGAGCCAGGGCUUGAGCAGCCAGCUGGGUGUGGACUCCAGCUGGGGGCAAGAAAGUAGGGAGGGUGGUGUCAGCAUCAGAGUCUUGCUGAGCAGAAGCUGAGCCAUCAGCCAGCCAGAUAAUCCCACAGCUUUAGAAGUCCACAGAAAAGCUGCUCUGGCAGAAGGAGGGCAAGGCUCUGACGUGGCCAAAUGGCCAGUAAUUCCAGAGGAAUGCAAAGUGUGCUGUAAGGAGUCCGAGCCUGGGGCACCCAAGGGAGCAGUUGGUACUGCCAAAGCCCUGUGGCAGGGCCUGACUUUCUCCCCAUGCCACAGCCUGCCGGGACAGUGGAUCCUUAUCUUGAUGGUGGAAGAGGUGGACUGAAGACUCAGAGGUGUGAGAAGUGUCAUCUGGCUCCUUCUGGCACAUCUGAGUCACUUUUUGUGGUGUGCAAGGUUGCUUUUCCUCCAAGACCCAGGAAAAUGUGAUAUGCAAAUGAAUCACCAGACCCUUUCCCCAGGACUGGCCAUGCCCCCACAAACUGAGACUUCUGGGCAGCAACUUUGCCUUCUGCCUGCUGUGCUGUGCCCAGAGGAUUCCAAUCUGAUGGACUGAAGCCCGGACAAAGAUGUCAACACAACAUUCCUUUGCUAAUGGAGCCUAGCUGUCAUUGGCUCAAGCAGGACUCUGACACUCAGCCACACCACCCUCUGUUUGAAUCAACACCUGUUGGCCGAGCCUUUAUUUUGUACCAGGCACCUUGACAGGCUAGGUGGGAGGAAGUGGGCAGAGAAGAUUAGCCAUGCCACUAUCCCCAUGGGUCCCCACCAACCAGUGGCAUCUUUAGAGAUGUAGCACUGAGGUUUCACCCUAGCAAAAUCCUCAAGGAGGGGACUUGCCCUGGCUCCCAGGUAAGGAGGGCAGGGAAGGUUCAGUCAGGUCUCAGGGCCCCCUCAUCCUCUUAAGGAGACGACAGUGCCAUCAGAUGUCUGGUCCAGUAAGCUGAUCUGAGAGUGCAGCCCUCUCAUGUGUAAGGGGAAAUAGGAUGUGGGGUUUGCUAUCAGGCUCAAGAGCAGAGAGCUGGCAAUAAAUCACGAGCUGAAAAGCAAUGUCAGUGCUUCAAACUAAAUUUCCAAGCCUGAGAAACAAUCGUGCAUUAAAAUCCAUCGGAGUAAAAAAAUCUAUUAAAAUUUCAGGAGCAAUGCUUUGCUAUAAAUUAGAUUUUUCUGCCAACCAGGAUAAUUCAGUAAUUUCCCCUUGACAUUCUUGAGAUUGCUUUUUUGGGGGAAUUAUGAUGCUUUAAAG